This 430-nucleotide ribosomal RNA is filed under the name Labyrinthulida sp. ex Crassostrea ariakensis. RNAcentral's name for it is "partial 18S ribosomal RNA". It matches the Rfam family "Eukaryotic small subunit ribosomal RNA", at positions 1055 to 1436 of the family's 1831-position model. The record is from RNAcentral. Lineage: Eukaryota; Bigyra.
GGAAGCUGUCUCUUCAGACUUUUCCGGCACCACAUGAGAAAUCAAAGUCUUUGGGUUCCGGGGGGAGUAUGGUCGCAAGGCUGAAACUUAAAGGAAUUGACGGAAGGGCACCACCAGGAGUGGAACCUGCGGCUUAAUUUGACUCAACACGGGAAAACUUACCAGGUCCAGACAUGAGAAGGAUUGACAGAUUGAGAGCUCUUUCUUGAUUUUAUGGGUGGUGGUGCAUGGCCGUUCUUAGUUGGUACGUUUUUUUAUAAAUCUUUUGUUUUUUUGGGAAAAGUAGUAAUUUUUUCUAACAAAUUUUGUUUAUAGGUGGAGUGAUUUGUCUGGUUUAUUCCGUUAACGAACGAGACCUUUGGCUACUAAAUAGUACAUAUUAUAGAAAUAUAGUAUGAGACUUCUUAAAAGGACAUUUCGGGUUUACCGG